Molecule: long non-coding RNA, 1669 nt
Filed under: Haliotis rubra (blacklip abalone)
Lineage: Eukaryota; Metazoa; Mollusca; Gastropoda; Lepetellida; Haliotidae
Description: uncharacterized LOC124291104
Source: RNAcentral
UACCUUCAUAUACUAAAUAUUCAAAACUAUGUAACAUCAAAGACUUUUAUGAAGCAAACAUCCAUAAUGCGCAUGCACUUUAAAUCUAUGAUUGUAUUUACCAUCCAGUGCAAUUGAAAAAUGCAUCAUAUUGACACACCUUAUAAAUGUAGCUUACCUUUUUCGAAACAAGUUAAUUACGAAUACCACCUGAUCUUAUCCACAUCUAUACCAGAACAAAUUCCCAAUACAAUAUCAGGACCCCAGGCACAGAAGAGGCCAGUGAACAGGAACACAGGUUAGUUGCACAAUCUUGGCUCCAUAUUCUAAAACCACCAAUUCAAUGUCCUAAUAAAUCCUGUAUUACUAAGGACUGUAGUCCUGGAAGACCAGAUUUUAACCAGUGUGAUCACCAGGUUUCAGCCCUUUAAGAUAACUCGAUAAUUUUUUAAAGGAAAUGUCAGCGAUUACCUCCCCUACAUUUGCACUUUACAGUAUGUUAUUGAGACAGCUGGCAAGGGAUUAACAUGACACCUUCAACUCGCACUCUAUUUUUCCACCAACUGACUAAGAGACCAUCAUGAUAAGAUUGGAAGUCUUUAUCAAAACAUUAUCACCAAAAGGAUUUCAAGAAUGAUGAGACUAAAUUUCUAUGAAUAUGUCCAUGAGAACUGACCUAAUUUUGUUCAUAUUUACAGAAAAAUAUUUCAGUCAGAUGAUCACUAUCCUUGCUAGUUUGUUGAAAACAUCCACUUAUUCUCCAACACUUUCACCAAAAUUAAAGAAAUGCCCUCCGAUUUAAUGAGGAUAGAAAUGUUUCGUGUGCUAGUGCCAUCUUAAAGAUCCAAGUAAACUGCUGGAAAUAUCCUUUUAUAAUGUCUUCACAAACUUCUCUCACUUUUCACUGUACACAGUCGAUACAUCACACCAAGAGAUGAAGGCAAUGUUGAACAGAGUGAAAUGCAGAAUCAACGACGGAUGUCCAGACAGCCCGUACCGUAAGACAGCCCGUAACUGGACAAGAUGGGAAGCAGGUUGCAACACAACCAUGAGUGAGCUGGUGAGACUGUGGGUGUCCAGGGCCCAGUAUUUCCUGCACAGCUGGAAGGAAUUGACUCAGAAAUGACUUCCAACGUAACUAUGAAACAUCAGAAUACAUCGUCUGGAGUGGCGUUGUUUUGUGGAUACUGCCGUUAUUGUUCCCAAGGAGCAAUGUUUUGGGGCUAACUCUGGAGCUUAAUGCAGAUCUGAUGGUACCAGCUGAUGCAGAAAUGUUUGACUGAGACACCAGAAGACCGACCACAUUCCAGACUGUUCAGGAUGAGCACAAGCCUCGAUCCGAUCGAACAUAUCCACAUUGUGACCACUUCUGAGCAAUGUUGAUAGUAGUUGAUCAAGUUGUGAUUUGCUCAUUUAGGACAAUACCUUCCCAUGCAGAACAUUGCCAUACAAACUGUUCAGGGAUCAACUAUAUCAUGAGCUGGAAGACAUCAUCCCUUUUCUAUGGAUGAUACCUUUGUAAUUUUGUGGAAUGACUGUCAUGUCAGUUGAUUUUGCUAUUUUAUAGUGCUUACAUGUAAUUUGUUUCAUACAACCUUUGUAAUCAAAGCAAAGUGACAUUUUUACUUGUGUUUUUUAUGUUUACAAGUUCAUAUGGCUUUUGAUAAAUAAAAGCUAAGCUUUGUAUGUA